Pseudopipra pipra is the source of this 513-nucleotide non-coding RNA. The record is from the annotation of a RefSeq genome assembly. NCBI's taxonomy places the organism in Eukaryota, Metazoa, Chordata, Aves, Passeriformes, Pipridae.
CCAGGGCUGCGGGCGGCCGUGACCCUGGUGGAGUCCGGGGGUGACCUCAAGGCCCCGGGGGAGUCCCUGCGGCUCCUCUGCCGCGGCUCCGGCUUCACCUUCGGGGACUACGACAUGGAGUGGGUGCGCCAGAGCCCCGGGAAGGGGCUGGAAUGGGUCGCUGGGAUCGAUGCUGGUGGUAGAACCGGCUACGCGCCAUCGGUUUGGGGCCGGUUCACCAUGGCCAGGGACAACGGGCAGAGUUCGGUGACGCUGCAGAUGAACAACCUCAGGGAGGAGGAUUCCGCCACCUAUUUCUGCGCCAGAGGUGUUGUUGGUGGUGUUUAUGGUGUUUAUGGUAUCGACGCCCUUGGCGGGGUCCCCUCAUGUCCCCAGACCCCAGACCCUCCCCCCAAACCUCCACCCUUCGCACCCAGCUCUCGGUCGUUGGUCCCGACCUUGGGCUGGUGUUUCCUCAAUUCUCAACCGUUGACCCCAAACCCCAACUCUUUGCACCCAGCUCUUGGUCUUUGA